This 3205-nucleotide long non-coding RNA is filed under the name Homo sapiens (human). RNAcentral describes it as "HSALNT0256047". The record is from RNAcentral. Lineage: Eukaryota; Metazoa; Chordata; Mammalia; Primates; Hominidae.
GAUGGUUUCCAGUUUCAUCCAUGUCCCUACAAAGGACACGAACUCAUCAUUUUUUAUGGCUGCGUAAAAAUUAUAUUUUUAACUUUACUUUUAUACAUUUAAACUAGCAUUUAUUAGGCUGGGCUUGGUGGCUCACGCCUGUAAUCCCAGUACUUUGGGAGGCUGAAGCGGGCGGAUCACUUGAGGUCAGGAGUUGGAGACCAGCCUGACCAACAUGGCAAAACCUUGUCUCUACUAAAAAUACAAAAAUUACCUGGGCGUGGUGGUGGGCGCCUGUAAUCCCAACUACUCAGGAGGCUGAGGCAGGAGAAUCGCUUGAACCUGGGAGGUGGAGGUUGCAAUGAGCUGAGAUCGUGCCAUUGCACUCUACCCAGGGUGACAGAGUGAGACUCUGUCUGAACAAACAAACAGACAAAAAGCCCACUAGCAUUUAUUAUUUUUUUAAUGUAAAUGUGGCUGAACGCGGUGGUUCACACCUGUAAUCCCAGCACUUUGGGAGGCUGAGGCAGGUAUCACUGAGGUCAGGAGUUCGAGACCAGCCUGGCCAACAUGGUGAAACCCCGUCUUUACUAAAAAUACAAAAAUUGGCUGGGUGCGGUGGUGCACACCUGUAAUCCCAACUACUCGAGAAGCUAAGGCAGGAGAAUCGCUUGAACCCGGGAGGCGGAGGUUGCAGUGAGCUGAGAUUACACCACUGCUCUCCAGCCUGGGCAACAGAUCGAGACUCUGUCUCAAAAUAAAUAAAUAAAUAAAUAAAUAAUUCUGUCACAUGCUGUGACAUGGAUGAACCUUGAGGACAUUAGGCUAAGUGAAAGAAGCCAGUCACAAAAGGACAAAUAUUGUAUGAUUCCACUUAUAUGAGGUAACUAGAGUAGUCAAAUUCAUAGAGACAGAAAGUAGAUUAGGAGUUCCAGGGGUUGGGGGUGGAGGAGUGGGAGUUAUUGCUUAUAAUGUAUAAUAUAUUUUAUAUUGUAAAAUAUACAAAAUAAAUAAAACGAAUUUGUGUUUUGUUUUGUUUUGAGUCAGAGUCUCGCUCUGUCUCCCAGGUGAGAGUACAGUGAUGCAAUCUUGGCUCACUGCAACCUCUGCCUCCCAGAUUCAAGGGAUUUUCGAGCCUCUGCCUCCUAAGUAGCUGGGACCACAGGCGCAAGCCACCAAGCCUGGCUGAUUUUCAUAUUUUACUAGAGACGGGGUUUCACCACGUUGGUAAGGCUGGUCUCAAACUCCUGACCUUAAGUGAUCUGCCCACUUCAGCCUCCCAAAGUGCUAGGAUUACAGGUGUGAGCCACCAUGACUGGCCACGUUUUUUUUGUUUUUUUUUUUUUGUUUGUUUGUUUUUGAGAUGGAGUUUAGCUCUGUUGCCCAGGCUGGAGUGCAGUGGUGCGAUCUCCGCUCACUGCAAGCUCCGCCUCCGGGGUUCACGCCAUUCUCCUGCCUCAGCCUCCCGAGUAGCUGGGACUACAGGCGCCCGCCACCACGCCCGGCUAAUUUUUUUGCAUUUUUAGUAGAGAGGGGGUUUCACCGUGUUAGCCAGGAUGGUCUCGAUCGCCUGACCUUGUGAUCCACCCGCCUCGGCCUCCCAAAGUGCUGGGAUUACAGGCAUGAGCCACCGCGCCUGGCCUGUUGUUUUUGUUUUUAAUCACACACGCACACCUUCUCUACCCCCGCAAAAAAUAACUGCAGUUUUCUCAAGACAUGAAUGUUCAUAGCAACACCACAUAUAUAUGUCAUUACCAAGCUGGAAAUAGCUCACACCCAAUGUCCAUCUGAAGUAGAAUGGACACCUAAAUUAUGCUGUUUCAGCCAAUGGAAUACUACACAGGAAUGAAAGAGCAAAUAUUACAUCUUCUCACAGAAGAUGGAUGAUGCUUAUAAGCAUAAUGUGCAACAAAGGAAGAGGACCUAUAUGAUUGCUUUUUAAAUUUUAUUUUUUUGAGACAGGGUAUUGCUCUGUUGCCCAGGCUAGAGUGCCCUGGCUCGGUCAUAGCUCACUGCAGCCUUGAAUUCCUGGGCUCAAGCAAUCCUCCCGCCUCAGUCUCUUCAGUAGCAAGACUAUAGGCAUGAACCGCUACUCCCACCUACAUUUUAAAUUUUUUUGUAGAGACGGGGUUUCUCUAUGUUACCCAGGUUGGUCUUGAACUCCUGGCUCACCUCCCCUCCCCUCCCCUCCUUUCUUGACAGGGUCUCACUGUUGCCCAGGCUGGAGUACACUGGCAUAUCACUGCAGCCUCAAUCUCCUGGUCUCAAGUGGUCCUCCCACCUCGGGCUCCUAAGUAGCUGGAACUUCAGGCACUCACCAUCAAGCCUGGCUAAUUUUUGUAUUAUUUGUAGAGAUAGAGUCUCAAUAUGUUGCCCAGGGUGGUCCUGAAUUCUGGGACCCAAGUUAUCCUCCCACCUUGGCCUCCCAAAAUGUUGGAAUUACAGGUAUGAGCUACCAUGCCUGACCUCAGAAUUUUUUCAUCUUGCAAACCUGUAACUCUAUACACUCACUCCCCAGUUUCCCUUUCGCCCAGUCCCUGGCAGUCACUAUUCCUUUUUUUUUUUUUUUUUUGAGACGGAUGGAGUCUCGCUCCGUUGCCCAGGCUGGAGUGCAGUGGCGCGAUCUCGGCUCACUGCAAGCUCCGCCUCCCGGGUUCACGCCAUUCUCCUGCCUCAGCCUCCCGAGUAGCUGGGACUCCAGGCACCCGCCACCACACCCGGCUAAUUUGUUUGUAUUUUUGGUAGAGACAGGGUUUCACCGUGUUAGCCAGGAUGGUCUCGAUCCCCUGACCUCGCGAUCUGCCCGUCUCGGCCUCCCAAAGUGCUGGGAUUACAGGCGUGAGCCACCGCGCCCGGCCUGGCAGUCACUAUUCUACCUUGUUUCUAUGAAUUUGACUACUCUAGGUACCUCAUAUAAGUCGAAUCAUACGGUACUUGUCCUUUUGUAACUGGCUUAUUUUUUAUUUUGAGACAGAGUCUUGCUCUGUUGUCCAGGCUGAAGUGCAGUGGCACAAUUAUUAUAACUGGCUGCAGAAUCGACCUCCUGGACUCAAGUGAUACUCCCACCUCAGCCUCUCAAGUAGCUGAAACUACAGGUGCUCACCUGGCUAAUUUUUUUUUUUUUUUUUUUUUUGAGACAGGGUUUCGCUCUGUCGCCCAAGCUAGAGUGCAGGGGCGCCAUCUCGGCUCACUACAAGCUCCGCCGCCCGGGUUCACGCCAUUCUUC